RNAcentral lists this ribosomal RNA (363 nucleotides) under uncultured bacterium. RNAcentral describes it as "bacterial SSU rRNA". It matches the Rfam family "Bacterial small subunit ribosomal RNA", at positions 28 to 392 of the family's 1533-position model. The record is from RNAcentral.
GACGAACGCUGGCGGCGUGCUUAACACAUGCAAGUCGAACGGAAAGGCCCUGCUUUUGUGGGGUGCUCGAGUGGCGAACGGUGAGUAACACGUGAGUAACCUGCCCUUGACUUUGGGAUAACUUCAGGAAACUGGGGCUAAUACCGGAUAGGAGCUCCUGCUGCAUGGUGGGGUUGAAGUUUCGGCGGUUGGGGAUGGACUCGCGGCUUAUCAGCUUGUUGGUGGGGUAGUGGCUUACCAAGGCUUUGACGGUAGCCGGCCUGAGAGGGUGACCGGGCCACAUUGGGACUGAGAUACGGCCCAGACUCCUACGGGAGGCAGCAGUGGGGAAUAGUUGCACAAUGGGCGGAAGCCUGAUGCAGC